This 738-nucleotide long non-coding RNA is filed under the name Pan troglodytes (chimpanzee). RNAcentral's name for it is "long non-coding RNA NONPTRT016465". Lineage: Eukaryota; Metazoa; Chordata; Mammalia; Primates; Hominidae. The record is from RNAcentral.
GAGACAGCUGUGACUUCCUAUUCCCUUUUCCCAGCCCCCAGGCUCAAAAAUAUGGUGGGUCUGAGGUUCUACUCCCCAACCCCGGCCAACGCUCAGGCCUAGACAAGAGUUGGAUGCUCCACGGGAGUAAUGUGAGACCCAGGAAGGCCACGUCUCAUUUUAACUUCCUCUCCUCUAUUCCAUACCACAAUCUCCGGGGAGCUUCAAUGGGUGGAGAAAGUUCUAUGCCUGCAAGAACUGAAUUUACCAUCAGUGCCUUCAUAUUUGUGAUAACCUUGUUUUCCCAUUCCUGCAGGGAUGCUGCGCUGAGUGAAGAUCUUCAUGAAUACCGUGUGUGAGCCUUCGAAACGCAUUGUGCCUCUUCCACUGGUCAGCACGUCUCCGUUUGGACUGGCCACGUUCUCAAAAGCCGCAAGCGGCUGAGGACUACCACGGAGGCCACACAGCUCCAGUCCGUUCUACUGGUUGUUAUGAGUUCAGUGUUAGUGCCGCCCCCACCCCCCAAAAUUUGCAUGUUGAAGUCCUAACCCCCAGUGUGAUGGGCUUGGACGUGGGGACGUCAGGAGAUAAUCAGGGUUCGGUGCAAUCCUGGUGAUACGACCCUCGUGCUGGGACGAGUGCCCUCAUGAGAAUAGGCCAGAGGACUUGCUCUCCUGCCACGUGAGGACACAGUGAGAGGGUGGCCGUCUGCAGCCCAGGAAGACCCUGACCUGCUGGCACCCCGAUCUCAGACUCCCA